This 338-nucleotide unclassified non-coding RNA is filed under the name soil metagenome. RNAcentral's name for it is "partial contains 5.8S ribosomal RNA, internal transcribed spacer 2, and large subunit ribosomal RNA". The stretch from base 1 to 121 matches the Rfam family "5.8S ribosomal RNA", at positions 35 to 154 of the family's 154-position model. The record is from RNAcentral.
GAUGAAGAACGCAGCGAAAUGCGAUAAGUAAUGCGAAUUGCAGAAUUUCCGUGAGUCAUCGAAUCUUUGAACGCACAUUGCGCCCACUGGUAUUCCGGUGGGCAUGCCUGUUCGAGCGUCAUUUGUACCCUCAAGCUUUGCUUGGUGUUGGGUGUUUGUCCCGCGUUGCGCGUGGACUCGCCUUAAAGCGAUUGGCAGCCGGCAUAUUGGCCUUGGAGCGCAGCACAUUUUGCGCUUCUAGUCAUGAAUGUUGGCGUCCAUUAAGCCUAUACAUUUGCUCUUGACCUCGGAUCAGGUAGGGAUACCCGCUGAACUUAAGCAUAUCAAUAAGCGGAGGA